This 497-nucleotide ribosomal RNA is filed under the name uncultured bacterium. RNAcentral's name for it is "partial 16S ribosomal RNA". It matches the Rfam family "Bacterial small subunit ribosomal RNA", at positions 28 to 507 of the family's 1533-position model. The record is from RNAcentral.
GAUGAACGCUGGCGGCGUGCCUAAUACAUGCAAGUCGAGCGAACAGACGAGGAGCUUGCUCCUCUGACGUUAGCGGCGGACGGGUGAGUAACACGUGGAUAACCUACCUAUAAGACUGGGAUAACUUCGGGAAACCGGAGCUAAUACCGGAUAAUAUAUUGAACCGCAUGGUUCAAUAGUGAAAGACGGUUUUGCUGUCACUUAUAGAUGGAUCCGCGCCGCAUUAGCUAGUUGGUAAGGUAACGGCUUACCAAGGCAACGAUGCGUAGCCGACCUGAGAGGGUGGUCGGCCACACGGGAACUGAGACACGGUCCAGACUCCUACGGGAGGCAGCAGUAGGGAAUCUUCCGCAAUGGGCGAAAGCCUGACGGAGCAACGCCGCGUGAGUGAUGAAGGUCUUCGGAUCGUAAAACUCUGUUAUUAGUGAAGAACAAAUGUGUAAGUAACUAUGCACGUCUUGACGGUACCUAAUCAGAAAGCCACGGCUAACUACGUG